AUGCUCCAAAUAUCUGUAGGCUUCUCACCCAUUAACCCAAUCACUUUUAUCUUCACAUUCCCGACCUUUGCCAAACUCACAAACACCUACUGCCUGUUGACCAUCUGAGGACCAGAGAACUUCUAGUGUGUUUGAGGGUGAGCUUUCUGAUACCAUCUCCGUGGUGAACGCAUCCAUCCCCGGCUGCCAAAUCAUCUGGCACAUGUGUGUGGGGAACAGUCAUAGGCUCCUGGUACCCAACAACAUGACCGACCAGGAGCUGCAGCACAUCUGCAACAGCCUGCCUGACUCGGUGCAGAUAUGGCUGGUGGAGGAGCGGCCCUCAGCCCUUGGCAAUGUUACCACCUGCAAUAACUAUGUGGCCUUGGUCCACCCAGACUUGGACAGGGAGACAGAAGAGAUCCUGGCUGAUGUCCUCAAGGUGGAAGUCUUCAGACAGACAGUUGCUGACUAGGCGCUAGUAGGAAGCUACUGUAUCUUCAGUAAUCAAGGAGGUCUGGUGCACCCUAAAACUUCUAUCGAGGACCAGGAUGAGUUGUCCUCCCUUCUUCAGGUCCCCCUUGUGGCAGGCACUGUGAACCUAGGGAGUGAGGUGAUUGCUGCUGGGAUGGUGGUGAACGAUUGGUGUGUUUUCUGUGGUCUGGACACAACCAGCACAGAGCUGUCGGUGGUGAAGAGCAUCUUCAAGCUGAAUGAAGCCAAAUCAAGUACCAUUGCCACCAGCAUGUGGGAUUCCCUCAUUGACAGCCUCACAUUAGUCACUGCCCAUGCUGCCGUGUGA
This is a non-coding RNA of Mus caroli (Ryukyu mouse), 781 nucleotides long. Lineage: Eukaryota; Metazoa; Chordata; Mammalia; Rodentia; Muridae. The record is from RefSeq and is a predicted model, not a curated record.